GGGCGCAGGAGUACCAUUAGCAACUUGAAGAAUUUCAGCCCCUGAGGUUCCAAAAACGAGCAGUGAUUAAGACUAGCCUGAAGACAUAUGCUGGCCGAACGAAGGGCAGAAGCCGUUUCCAUUGUAGGAGUGUUUUCUUUCACCAGGCGAACAAAAGACUCUAUUUCACACUCAGCCCAUUGUAUAAUCCGAUUUGUACAAGAGGGCGUGUCUCCGA
RNAcentral lists this unclassified non-coding RNA (217 nucleotides) under Hevea brasiliensis (rubber tree). The record is from RNAcentral. Lineage: Eukaryota; Viridiplantae; Streptophyta; Magnoliopsida; Malpighiales; Euphorbiaceae.